RNAcentral lists this long non-coding RNA (853 nucleotides) under Homo sapiens (human). RNAcentral describes it as "HSALNT0320266". Lineage: Eukaryota; Metazoa; Chordata; Mammalia; Primates; Hominidae. The record is from RNAcentral.
AAUUUUUUUUAGAGAUGAGGUCUCCCUUUGUUGCCCAGCUGGUCUGAAAUUCCUGGUUUCAAGUGACCCUCACACGUCAGCCUCCUAAAGAGGUGAAGUUAUAAGCAUGAACCAUUGUGGCCAGCGGUGGGACUGAUCCUUACAAAGGUCUUGUGUGCUUCUUAUCUCUCUUGGAACCACGUCAUGGCCAUGAAAACAAGCUCAAGCUAGCCUACUGAAGGAUACAAGAACCAUAGAGGAAAGCUGAGUCACUUUAGCUGAGGCCAUAAUAGACUGAUCAGCCCCCUGCCAACAACCAGUGAUGGCAGAUGCUUGAUCGGGCCCCAGAAAGUUCAUCAGAAAUGAGUGAGUCAAGGUCACAAUAACUGAUCAGCUGAACCAUGGACUCAGGAAAAAUUUUUUUUAAAGGUAGUUGUUUGUUUUGUUUUUUAACAUACCAGUAGCUACAUAGCCCAUAUUGCAAAUGACAUCAAAUUGGACAGAAUGGUUACUGGGUUGUAAUUUUGGAAUGACGGAUUCUAAGUAUCAAGAAGAAUCUGAAUGGGAACAAAUGUAUAAUUCUCAUGAAGUGCUGUACUUGAUUAAAAACUCAAUACAAAACUAAGAUGGUCUCCAGAUACAAGGAUGUAAUAUUUUCCAAUAUAUUUUUAGCAAACUCUCUGGAAUAGUUGGUUGUACUUCGGAGGCUGGUCUAGGGAAGAAUGGUUAGAAUCAGUCUAGAAAUCAUGUCAAAUUCUUAUCACUUGCUAUCAAACUAGCUGGUUCAAUUCCUUAUUAGUGAUCUGCAAUAAGAUAAAAUCUUGUGCUACAACAUAAAGCAACUAUCUCAAUAAACACAGUUUAAUUCAGCUAA